This 427-nucleotide ribosomal RNA is filed under the name uncultured beta proteobacterium. RNAcentral's name for it is "bacterial SSU rRNA". It matches the Rfam family "Bacterial small subunit ribosomal RNA", at positions 355 to 774 of the family's 1533-position model. Lineage: Bacteria; Pseudomonadati; Pseudomonadota; Betaproteobacteria. The record is from RNAcentral.
UGGGGAAUUUUGGACAAUGGGCGAAAGCCUGAUCCAGCCAUGCCGCGUGAGUGAAGAAGGCCUUCGGGUUGUAAAGCUCUUUUAGUCGGGAAGAAAGAGUUGCAAUGAAUAAUUGUGAUUUAUGACGGUACCGACAGAAAAAGCACCGGCUAACUACGUGCCAGCAGCCGCGGUAAUACGUAGGGUGCGAGCGUUAAUCGGAAUUACUGGGCGUAAAGGGUGCGCAGGCGGUCUUGCAAGUCAGACGUGAAAGCCCCGGGCUUAACCUGGGAAUUGCGUUUGAAACUACAAGGCUAGAGUGCAGCAGAGGGGAGUGGAAUUCCAUGUGUAGCAGUGAAAUGCGUAGAGAUGUGGAAGAACACCGAUGGCGAAGGCAGCUCCCUGGGUUGACACUGACGCUCAUGCACGAAAGCGUGGGGAGCAAACA